RNAcentral lists this ribosomal RNA (474 nucleotides) under Chlorella variabilis. RNAcentral's name for it is "SSU rRNA". It matches the Rfam family "Bacterial small subunit ribosomal RNA", at positions 35 to 536 of the family's 1533-position model. Lineage: Eukaryota; Viridiplantae; Chlorophyta; Trebouxiophyceae; Chlorellales; Chlorellaceae. The record is from RNAcentral.
GCUGGCUACUGCUAAAACAUGCAGUCGUACGAAUGAAUUUUGGCUUGCCAAAAUUUAAUGAGUGGCGGACGGGUGAGUAACACGUAAGAACCUACCUUUUGGAGAGGGACAACCAUUGGAAACGAUGGCUAAUACCUCAUAAUGCUGAGAAGUUAAACGAUGAAUAAUCGCCAAGAGAUGGGCUUGCGGCUGAUUAGCUAGUUGGUGGGGUAAAGGCUUACCAAGGCGAUGAUCAGUAGCUGGUCUGAGAGGAUGAUCAGCCACACUGGGACUGAGACACGGCCCAGACUCCUACGGGAGGCAGCAGUGAGGAAUUUUCCGCAAUGGGCGAAAGCCUGACGGAGCAAUGCCGCGUGAAGGAUGAAGGCCUAUGGGUUGUAAACUUCUUUUCUCAGAAAAGAAAUAUUGACGGUAUCUGAAGAAUAAGCAUCUUUUUAUUUUUGUGCCAGCACCCGCGGUAAAACAGAAGAUGCA